Molecule: ribosomal RNA, 253 nt
Filed under: uncultured bacterium
Lineage: Bacteria
Description: partial 16S ribosomal RNA
Rfam family: Bacterial small subunit ribosomal RNA
Source: RNAcentral
UACGUAGGGGGCAAGCGUUGUCCGGAAUCAUUGGGCGUAAAGAGCGUGUAGGCGGCCCGAUAAGUCCGUUGUGAAAGUCGAGGGCUCAACCCUCGAAUGCCGGCGGAUACUGUCGGGCUAGAGUCCGGAAGAGGCGAGUGGAAUUCCUGGUGUAGCGGUGAAAUGCGCAGAUAUCAGGAGGAACACCGAUGGCGAAGGCAGCUCGCUGGGACGGUACUGACGCUGAGACGCGAAAGCGUGGGGAGCAAACAGG